GUAUUUAUUGACAUUAGCACACUCCGUUAGAGAACUUUAUCAUCACGUUACAAUUACAAAGGGAUGUAGAGAUGACAUGGCAAUGUGGUUUAAAUUCCUAAGUCAGUGGAAUGGUAUAUCAUUUUUUAUCAGCGAUAACGUUAUUAAUGCGUCCGAUUUUCAUUUAUUUACGGAUGCUUCAUCAACAAUCGGAUACGGAGGUUAUUUUAGGAAAAGGUGGUUUCAAGGCAUUUGGCCCGACGAUUUUAUUCGGCCCGAUGAGGAGUCUUUCUCAAUGGCUUACUUAGAAUUGUAUCCGAUUGUUAUAUCUGCUAUUUUAUGGGGGCAUGAAUGGUCUACUAAACGCAUUCUUUUUCAUUGUGAUAAUAUGUCUAGUGUGUACAUUAUUAAUAAGGGUCGUUCAAAGUGUAACGUAAUUAUGAAUCUUGUUCGCCGUUUAACUUGGUGUGCGGCUAAAUUUAAUUUUGUUGUACAUGCUGUACAUGUACAGGGAAAGAAAAUAACAUAGCAGAUGCUCUUUCUCGUUACCAGAUGAAGCGGUUUCGACAAUUGGCUCCGGACGCUUCGCCAAAUCCAUGCACCUGCCCUCCUCAUUCCGAAAUUCUGUGGAGUUAGAUCAAGCAGUCGACAGCUUAUGGAAUAAAAGUAUCAAUGUGAAUACCCGCAAUGUUUAUUCAACAGGAUAUAAAUGUUUUAUUCAAUUUUGUGGCAAUCAUAUCACUGGAUUCAACUCAAGGAGUUUCAAUAUGUCUAAAGUUUCGGAAGAUUUAUUGAUCUAUUUCGUGGCCCAUUGCCAAUCAGUGUUAAAACUGAAAUAUUCAACAAUCAAAUUAUAUCUCGCUGGAGUUCGUUUUCAUGGAGUUAAUUUUGAUAAUGUGAA
RNAcentral lists this long non-coding RNA (880 nucleotides) under Mytilus galloprovincialis (Mediterranean mussel). The record is from RNAcentral. Lineage: Eukaryota; Metazoa; Mollusca; Bivalvia; Mytilida; Mytilidae.